This 898-nucleotide long non-coding RNA is filed under the name Nicotiana benthamiana. RNAcentral describes it as "long non-coding RNA (NBEN_LNC025719)". The record is from RNAcentral. Lineage: Eukaryota; Viridiplantae; Streptophyta; Magnoliopsida; Solanales; Solanaceae.
AAAGCCUUUCUAUUCAAAUGAGACGCACUCCCAUUGUCUCGCUAAGGUCAGCAGCAGGACAUAGAGCAGGGAUUGAGUAGUCUUGGGAGGCGGACUUAUAUUCCCCGGUUACGAGUUGACGACGUUUUCACUACUCAAACUUGAAAAAGUCUUUUACACCUUCGGGAAAGCGUACCGGAAGACCCAACUUUCGCUUAAAAUCCCAGUUUGGAUGAGCAGAGUUAGGCUCGAUUUCGAUUCAUACUGAAAAAUAGGUGAAUAGUUGAUAGCAGAUGGGGUCAAGCUAAAGGCAGAGCUUGAAUUGGAUUUUCCAGUUGGAAAUCCGUUAGAAAAGCUGUACCUUGACAAGCCCCACGAUGCUUCUGGCAGCCAUCAUCGCAGGGACGAAGAGAUUCCCAAGACCAUAACUAUAGACUCAUUCUGCACCAGCCCACUAGCAAAACAAAAGGCAAGGAACUUCUUUGACUAGUAUAGUAUCGGGAACAUGCCUAGAAGAGGAUUUCAGAAUUCCAGAGGCGCGCAAACAAAGCCAUGCUUACUUCAUCUUCACUUCAUGCUUAUACACCUGCUGGACUGUCUAUCCUUCCUUGCUUUUGAUUAGAUGGAUUAUAUCAUCCAAGAGCUUAAACUAAGAGGCCAAUACUUCAAGGAACGAACUUGCAGGCCUUAUCUUAUACCUUACCUCAACUAAAAAAGCUAACGAGAAUGUCGAUUCCAUGCCUUAAGGCUGACUGACGCUUCCCUCUUUCCUGGUCUCCAUUACCCUUCUCCCGAAAAUGCUUUUUCAUCGCUCUGAGCUCAUCAAGUGGAAUAGUUAAUUACGUUUAACAAUCUUCAGCAGCUUUAAGGUAAAGAUGCCAUUUGCAUGAUCCAAGGCCUUCCCUGCAAAAGGCUGUUN